GGCCUAACACAUGCAAGUCGAGCGGUAGCACAGAGAGCUUGCUCUCGGGUGACGAGCGGCGGACGGGUGAGUAAUGUCUGGGAAACUGCCUGAUGGAGGGGGAUAACUACUGGAAACGGUAGCUAAUACCGCAUAACGUCGCAAGACCAAAGUGGGGGACCUUCGGGCCUCAUGCCAUCAGAUGUGCCCAGAUGGGAUUAGCUAGUAGGUGAGGUAACGGCUCACCUAGGCGACGAUCCCUAGCUGGUCUGAGAGGAUGACCAGCCACACUGGGACUGAGACACGGUCCAGACUCCUACGGGAGGCAGCAGUGGGGAAUAUUGCACAAUGGGCGCAAGCCUGAUGCAGCCAUGCCGCGUGUAUGAAGAAGGCCUUCGGGUUGUAAAGUACUUUCAGCGGGGAGGAAGGCGAUAAGGUUAAUAACCUUGUCGAUUGACGUUACCCGCAGAAGAAGCACCGGCUAACUCCGUGCCAGCAGCCGCGGUAAUACGGAGGGUGCAAGCGUUAAUCGGAAUUACUGGGCGUAAAGCGCACGCAGGCGGUCUGUCAAGUCGGAUGUGAAAUCCCCGGGCUCAACCUGGGAACUGCAUUCGAAACUGGCAGGCUAGAGUCUUGUAGAGGGGGGGUAGAAUUCCAGGUGUAGCGGUGAAAUGCGUAGAGAUCUGGAGGAAUACCGGUGGCGAAGGCGGCCCCCUGGACAAAGACUGACGCUCAGGUGCGAAAGCGUGGGGAGCAAACAGGAUUAGAUACCCUGGUAGUCCACGCCGUAAACGAUGUCGAUUUGGAGGUUGUGCCCUUGAGGCGUGGCUUUCGGAGCUAACGCGUUAAAUCGACCGCCUGGGGAGUACGGCCGCAAGGUUAAAACUCAAAUGAAUUGACGGGGGCCCGCACAAGCGGUGGAGCAUGUGGUUUAAUUCGAUGCAACGCGAAGAACCUUACCUGGUCUUGACAUCCACAGAACUUAGCAGAGAUGCUUUGGUGCCUUCGGGAACUGUGAGACAGGUGCUGCAUGGCUGUCGUCAGCUCGUGUUGUGAAAUGUUGGGUUAAGUCCCGCAACGAGCGCAACCCUUAUCCUUUGUUGCCAGCGGUUAGGCCGGGAACUCAAAGGAGACUGCCAGUGAUAAACUGGAGGAAGGUGGGGAUGACGUCAAGUCAUCAUGGCCCUUACGACCAGGGCUACACACGUGCUACAAUGGCGCAUACAAAGAGAAGCGACCUCGCGAGAGCAAGCGGACCUCAUAAAGUGCGUCGUAGUCCGGAUUGGAGUCUGCAACUCGACUCCAUGAAGUCGGAAUCGCUAGUAAUCGUAGAUCAGAAUGCUACGGUGAAUACGUUCCCGGGCCUUGUGCACACCGCCCGUCACACCAUGGGAGUGGGUUGCAAAAGAAGUAGGUAGCUUAACCUUCGGGAGGGCGCUUACCACUUUGUGAUUCAUGACUGGGGUGAAG
This 1449-nucleotide ribosomal RNA is filed under the name uncultured organism. RNAcentral describes it as "SSU rRNA". It matches the Rfam family "Bacterial small subunit ribosomal RNA". The record is from RNAcentral.